GACGAACACUGGCGGUGUGCUUCACACAUGCAAGUCGAACGAGGUAGCAAUACCUAGUGGCGGACGGGUGAGUAACGCGUGGGAAUCUGCCUUUAGAUGGGGGAUAACGGGUCGAAAGACUCGCUAAUACCGCAUAUGACGAAAGUUGAAAGGAGUAAUCCGUCUAAAGAUGAGCCCGCGUCCGAUUAGCUAGUUGGUAGAGUAAAAGCCUACCAAGGCGACGAUCGGUAGCUGGUCUGAGAGGAUGAUCAGCCACAAUGGGACUAGAAGACACGGCCCAUACUCCUACGGAGGCAGCAGUGGGAAUUUUAC
RNAcentral lists this ribosomal RNA (312 nucleotides) under uncultured bacterium. RNAcentral describes it as "bacterial SSU rRNA". It matches the Rfam family "Bacterial small subunit ribosomal RNA", at positions 28 to 367 of the family's 1533-position model. The record is from RNAcentral.